This 1147-nucleotide long non-coding RNA is filed under the name Salmo salar (Atlantic salmon). RNAcentral's name for it is "lncRNA (ENSSSAG00000101155.1)". The record is from RNAcentral. Lineage: Eukaryota; Metazoa; Chordata; Actinopteri; Salmoniformes; Salmonidae.
CCCUCCCUCUCUCCUGCCCCUCCGUGCCCCAGGACCAUCCCAGGACCACCUCUAACCCCCACAGCCCCGUUACCCCCUCCCUCCCUCUCUCCUGCCCCUCCGUGCCCCAGGACCAUCCCAGGACCACCUCCCGUCAGGUGUUCUCUCCCUUCCCGAGUGUGAAACAGCACAGACGUUCAUCUGCAGCCCGUAACCUGGGUCUCUACGGUCCCACACCCAGAACCCCUACAGUUCACUUCCCUGGGCUCAGCCUGAGCCGUACUACCUCCACUCUGUCCACCAGGAGGCGAUAGAGGCCACGCGGCACUGACUGACUGGCUCUGGUGGGGACGGGACCGGACCUGAGAGAGACUGGGGACUGGACCUGAGGGGGACGGGGGACGGGACUGGACCUGAGAGAGACGGGACUGGACCUGAGAGAGACGGGACUGGACCCGAGAGAGACUGGGGGACCGGACCCGAGAGAGACUGGGGGACCGGACCCGAGAGAGACUGGGGGACGGGACCCGAGAGAGACUGGGGGACGGGACCCGAGAGAGACUGGGGACCGGACCCGAGAGAGACUGGGGGCGGGACCGGACCCGAGAGAGACUGGGGGACGGGACUGGACCCGAGAGAGACUGGGGACCGGACCCGAGAGAGACUGGGGGACGGGACCGGACCCGAGAGAGACGAGUGGGGUCAGUAAUCAGCUAUGGUCUGAUCCACUGCUCAUAGGUAGGACCUUAACUCUCCACAGUGGAGGUCAAUGCCCUCUCAACCAAUAGGAAGAGGAAGAGCUGCUAUGUAACUUCCUGUGUUGUGGUCAUUUCCUCCCCCCUGCUGGAAGCUGUAAACUGGGAUCUGUCUGGCUGAACGGCAUCAUGGGAUCGUCUCUGUCCACUCACCUAUCCCAGGUCACGUUCUCUUCACCGUAUAAACACAAUGUUCAACUCCUUCCUUCCUCUCAGCUGAUUUCUGUUCCCCACUUCCUGUCUGCCUGUUUGCUUCCUGUCAAUGUGUCUCUCCGCAGUAAGACGCCAUACUAAAAGAUCCAUAGACCCGUGUGUCCGUGAUGUGAUUUGUAAUUGUUGGUAAAUGAACCCACGCCAUUGUGGGGUGAGAGGUCACUGCACUGCUAAUAAAGAAGGUGAAAUCAUGCUGUCAA